Molecule: ribosomal RNA, 253 nt
Filed under: uncultured bacterium
Lineage: Bacteria
Description: partial 16S ribosomal RNA
Rfam family: Bacterial small subunit ribosomal RNA
Source: RNAcentral
UACGUAGGGCGCAAGCGUUAUCCGGAAUUAUUGGGCGUAAAGGGCGCGUAGGCGGCCUUCUAAGUCGAACGUGAAAUCCCCGGGCUCAACCCGGGAACUGCGUCCGAUACUGGAAGGCUUGAAUCCGGGAGAGGGAUGUGGAAUUCCAGGUGUAGCGGUGAAAUGCGUAGAUAUCAGGAGGAACACCGGUGGUGUAGACGGCUUUCUGGACCGUAACUGACGCUGAAACACGAAAGCGUGGGUAGCAAACAGG